CAAAGAAGCAAGCCCGUAGGUCUCUAUAGCUCAGGUCCAGCCCUGGACUCAGAAUUCCACUGUGCUAUGUAUGGAACAAGUGGCAGGUACCUAGGUGGUAAAGAGUAUUCUGUCUAGAAGUGGGGACCCCUGCGUGUCCAUUCUAGUGCUGGUCUAACUAGCUUUGGGUAUCUGAGCUAGUCAGUGAUUGGUGGGAAACGAUUUUCCUCAACAUGUAAUCUAUCUCAACAUGCAGUGGCCAACACUGUGAGUGCUCUUCCGAAUUAUUUAGCCCGUGCCCUCCCACAGCCUUUGCCCAGGGUCUGCAGUCGGCCUCUGGCCCAGGAAAAGGGUUAGGCCUUCCUCUUCUCACUCCUCUGUACCUUAGAGCACAGCAGAUGCAGUCGGAUUCCUGGGACACAUUACAGGAACGGAUGCCCCAGGGAGCUUUGCUAUGAUCCCAUCCCUGUAGAUGAUGGCUCGAAUCCACCAUCAAAUUGGGUAUUAUCAUAUAAUCAUUUCUUUGAAAAGCUUCAGAAUCAUCAUUAGCACAGGGAGCAAAUUAAAUGGCAUGCCAGCAGGGAUUCCACCACUGAUAAACUGAAGUGAAAUUAAACUUUAAAAAAAUUAACUGUAUGAAUAUCACAUUAUAAUGAUCACACCUACUCAUGGAGCCAACAAGGACUGGGUAGAAAUGAAGAAUUCAGACAUCCAGACGGUACCUCUAGAGAGACCACAUGAGCUUGCCUGUUGGCGCUAAAGAAGCUGAGGUCUCUGAGAAGCCACCAGACCAGGAGCUGAGUCUUUCAAAUAUCUGGGGAGCCUGUUUUCGUUUUCCUCCAAACCACCAAACAGGCGAUCAAAUUGGCCUGUUUACACCACUUUUCAAUGGACUUGGCUUUGGUUAAUGAAAACAAGAACACCUACAUCAAUAACAGCAGGCUGUUGCACAACCUCUACCUGAAGCCUCUCCAGCACCUGUGGACAGUCCCGCUCUAGUCCCGAGCCUGCACUGCUUCUGUUCUCUUUGCUCCCCUGUUUAGGCUUCCAGUGGCUUCUGUCUUGAAAUAAAGGGAGCAUGCUUGCAA
Non-coding RNA from Myodes glareolus (Bank vole), 1067 nucleotides. Lineage: Eukaryota; Metazoa; Chordata; Mammalia; Rodentia; Cricetidae. The record is from RefSeq and is a predicted model, not a curated record.